This 68-nucleotide transfer RNA is filed under the name Tridacna maxima. RNAcentral's name for it is "tRNA-Asp". The record is from RNAcentral. Lineage: Eukaryota; Metazoa; Mollusca; Bivalvia; Cardiida; Cardiidae.
AGAUAGUCUAGUUUAAGCAAGAACACUUGUUUGUCAGGCAGGAGGUCCACUUAGCGUGGGGUUAUCUG